This 443-nucleotide ribosomal RNA is filed under the name uncultured bacterium. RNAcentral's name for it is "partial 16S ribosomal RNA". It matches the Rfam family "Bacterial small subunit ribosomal RNA", at positions 338 to 795 of the family's 1533-position model. The record is from RNAcentral.
CCUACGGGAGGCUGCAGUGGGGAAUAUUGGGCAAUGGAGGCAACUCUGACCCAGCAACGCCGCGUGAAUGAUGAAGGUCUUCGGAUUGUAAAGUUCUGUUAUGGGGGAUGAACACAAUGACGGUACCCCAAUAGCAAGCCACGGCUAACUACGUGCCAGCAGCCGCGGUAAUACGUAGGUGGCAAGCGUUAUCCGGAAUGACUGGUCGUAAAGGGUGCGUAGGUGGGUUAGUAAGUUGGCGGUGUAAUUCCGGGGCUCAACCUCGGCGCUACCGCAAAAACUAUUAGACUAGAGUGCAGGGGGGGUAAGUGGAAUUCCUAGUGUAGCGGUGGAAUGCGUAGAUAUUAGGAGGAACAUCAGGGGCGAAGGCGACUUACUGGACUGUAACUGACACUGAGGCACGAAAGCGUGGGGAGCAAACAGGAUUAGAUACCCCUGUAGUC